UCCUGCCUGAGAAACCAACACGCUGGUGUAAUUUUCACGACUUUGUCGGGAAAGUUGGGAGUAUCACCCCCCGUUGUAGCCCCCCCUACGUAAGGUGUCUAUGUACAGCAUGAGCCGUUCUCAUUCAUGGGUGGGUGGCGACUAUGAUUGCUGGUACGAAGUUCGCGCACGUUUCAACGACGCUUGAGCUUUAGACUUGAUGAGCAUUGCUUG
RNAcentral lists this ribosomal RNA (213 nucleotides) under Mammomonogamus auris. RNAcentral describes it as "partial 18S ribosomal RNA". The record is from RNAcentral. Lineage: Eukaryota; Metazoa; Nematoda; Chromadorea; Rhabditida; Syngamidae.